RNAcentral lists this ribosomal RNA (1346 nucleotides) under uncultured bacterium. RNAcentral's name for it is "bacterial SSU rRNA". It matches the Rfam family "Bacterial small subunit ribosomal RNA", at positions 28 to 1381 of the family's 1533-position model. The record is from RNAcentral.
GAUGAACGCUAGCGGGAGGCCUAACACAUGCAAGCCGAGCGGUAGAGAUUCUUCGGAAUCUUGAGAGCGGCGUACGGGUGCGGAACACGUGUGCAACCUACCUUUAUCAGGGGGAUAGCCUUUCGAAAGGAAGAUUAAUACCCCAUAAUAUAUUGAAUGGCAUCAUUUGAUAUUGAAAACUCCGGUGGAUAGAGAUGGGCACGCGCAAGAUUAGAUAGUUGGUAGGGUAACGGCCUACCAAGUCAAUGAUCUUUAGGGGGCCUGAGAGGGUGAUCCCCCACACUGGUACUGAGACACGGACCAGACUCCUACGGGAGGCAGCAGUGAGGAAUAUUGGACAAUGGGUGAAAGCCUGAUCCAGCCAUCCCGCGUGAAGGACGACGGCCCUAUGGGUUGUAAACUUCUUUUGUAUAGGGAUAAACCUUUCCACGUGUGGAAAGCUGAAGGUACUAUACGAAUAAGCACCGGCUAACUCCGUGCCAGCAGCCGCGGUAAUACGGAGGGUGCAAGCGUUAUCCGGAUUUAUUGGGUUUAAAGGGUCCGUAGGCGGAUCUGUAAGUCAGUGGUGAAAUCUCAUAGCUUAACUAUGAAACUGCCAUUGAUACUGCAGGUCUUGAGUAAAAGUAGAAGUGGCUGGAAUAAGUAGUGUAGCGGUGAAAUGCAUAGAUAUUACUUAGACACCAAUUGCGAAAGGCAGGUCACUAUGUUUUAACUGACGCUGAUGGACGAAAGCGUGGGGAGCGAACAGGAUUAGAUACCCUGGUAGUCCACGCCGUAAACGAUGCUAACUCGUUUUUGGGACUUCGGUUUCAGAGACUAAGCGAAAGUGAUAAGUUAGCCACCUGGGGAGUACGUUCGCAAGAAUGAAACUCAAAGGAAUUGACGGGGGCCCGCACAAGCGGUGGAUUAUGUGGUUUAAUUCGAUGAUACGCGAGGAACCUUACCAAGACUUAAAUGGGAAAUGACAGGUUUAGAAAUAGAUCCUUCUUCGGACAUUUUUCAAGGUGCUGCAUGGUUGUCGUCAGCUCGUGCCGUGAGGUGUUAGGUUAAGUCCUGCAACGAGCGCAACCCCUGUCACUAGUUGCUAACAUUCAGUUGAGGACUCUAGUGAGACUGCCUACGCAAGUAGAGAGGAAGGUGGGGAUGACGUCAAAUCAUCACGGCCCUUACGUCUUGGGCCACACACGUAAUACAAUGGCCGGUACAGAGGGCAGCUACACAGCGAUGUGAUGCGAAUCUCGAAAGCCGGUCUCAGUUCGGAUUGGAGUCUGCAACUCGACUCUAUGAAGCUGGAAUCGCUAGUAAUCGCGCAUCAGCCAUGGCGCGGUGAAUACGUUCCCGGGCCU